GGUGGAGAUUAUAACAGAACAUGGCCAAGAUGUUCAAAUGUUCAUAAAUGACCAGCAUGGUCGAAUAAUAAUAAGGCAGAACAGUUGAAACUGGAGCAGCAGCACAGUCAGGUAGACUGGGGACAGCAAGGAGUCAUCAUGUCAGGUAGUCCUGGGGCAUGGUCCUAGGGCUCAGGUCCUCCGAGAGAGAGAAAGAAAGAGAGAAGGAGAGAAUCAGAGAACGCACACUUAGAUUCACACAGGACACCGAAUAGGACAGGAGAAGUACUCCAGAUAUAACAAACUGACCCCAGCCCCCCGACACAUAAACUACUGCAGCAUAAAUACUGGAGGCUGAGACAGGAGGGG
Long non-coding RNA from Oncorhynchus tshawytscha (Chinook salmon), 348 nucleotides. Lineage: Eukaryota; Metazoa; Chordata; Actinopteri; Salmoniformes; Salmonidae. The record is from Ensembl.